UACGAAGGGGGCGAGCGUUGUUCGGAAUUACUGGGCGUAAAGGGCGCGCAGGCGGCCUUGGAAGUCAGAUGUGAAAGCCCCGGGCUCAACCUGGGAAUGGCAUUUGAUACUCUGAGGCUGGAGUGCGGGAGAGGAGAGUGGAAUUCCCAGUGUAGAGGUGAAAUUCGUAGAUAUUGGGAAGAACACCGGUGGCGAAGGCGGCUCUCUGGACCGUAACUGACGCUGAGGCGCGAAAGCGUGGGGAGCAAACAG
Molecule: ribosomal RNA, 252 nt
Filed under: uncultured bacterium
Lineage: Bacteria
Description: partial 16S ribosomal RNA
Rfam family: Bacterial small subunit ribosomal RNA
Source: RNAcentral